UAGAAUAAUAUUCAAUAAUGAUAUCUAACUUGCUAUUAGAAAGUGCCCUCAGGCUUAUUUUACCC
This 65-nucleotide transfer RNA is filed under the name Lovenula raynerae. RNAcentral describes it as "tRNA-Ala". The record is from RNAcentral. Lineage: Eukaryota; Metazoa; Arthropoda; Copepoda; Calanoida; Diaptomidae.